GUGAGGGGAUGUGACUACAAAUGGAUCUGGGAAUCCAAGAUUCCUUUAAAAAUCCAAAUAUUCCUCUGGCAGCUCUUUCAAGAUGCUGUACUUACUAGAGAUGUGAUGAGCAGGAGAAAAUGGGCGGGCAACCCUGCAUGCUCGUUUUGCAGCAAAAGGGAAACCUCUCAACACCUUUUCUUCACAUGUCAUGUGGCUAGAAUUAUGUGAAGAACUGUUGGAUGUGUCCUGGGCAUGGAUCGUUGCCUGAAUAAUGUGUGGCAAUACUUUGCUUGGUGUUAUAUGUUCCUUUCAGAUGGGGAAAAAUUCUAUACGUUUGGCUUAGCAGCAAUGUGCUGGGCUAUGUGGAACUGUCGUAAUAAGGCGACAUUUGAGUCCAAACGGAUGAGGUCCCCUUUUGAUGUGGUUUAUUCGCAUGUGGAUAUUUGA
Molecule: ribosomal RNA, 429 nt
Filed under: Triticum aestivum (bread wheat)
Lineage: Eukaryota; Viridiplantae; Streptophyta; Magnoliopsida; Poales; Poaceae
Description: partial small subunit ribosomal RNA
Source: RNAcentral